Anguilla rostrata (American eel) is the source of this 1377-nucleotide long non-coding RNA. RefSeq lists it as uncharacterized. The transcript is spliced from 5 exons. The record is from RefSeq and is a predicted model, not a curated record. Lineage: Eukaryota; Metazoa; Chordata; Actinopteri; Anguilliformes; Anguillidae.
UCAAAUAUGUUAUGUAGAGUGUAGUUAUAUCAGCCAUUUGGCUCACGUCGCCGUGUUAAUGGGUAAAGGCUGUUAAUUCGCGCUUGUUGACUGGAAUAAGCGAGCGUACCUGCUGUUACUGUAACAUUCCUCAGGGUGGCAGCAGAGGACCAUUUAUAAAUUAAUUAUUUCCUUGAAAAAAUGUAUGGACAUUUAGAGCAUGGGAUUAAAUUACAUAUUUUCUAUUGUAAGGAAUCCAUUCUAGUUUUGGUACAACUGUGUAGAUAUUGAUGUUAGAGUGUUAUUGAUAUUGUAAAAGGUACACAGUCAUUUAAAUUAAUUUUAUUUCAUUUGUAAGUUUAUUUUAUUAAGAUUAUAUCACAAUGUAAAGAUUACAAAGUCUUUCAAGCCAACAUAGUAACUUACAGCAGAGUAUGAUUGUCAUGCUGUGGUGGGAGCAAGUUGUGCCGAUUCAUCUAUCCAUCUUCCUGAACUGACUGGUUGUGUGUGUCCCAUUGCAGAAUAAGACUGGAAUGCCCCAUCCCCCUUUUUAUUCCUGUGCCCUAUAUGAGUCAGUAAGCAGAACGGGGGACAGAGUGGUCACAAGUUGAAAACAAUGUCUGCUUAAUCUGUUGCCGCAGCUUCUCAUGCCGAAGCAACUGCCCGGUCCUGUUUAAUGCCAUCCGACUUGUGAGUUCUCGCAAUUGAAAGGUAUAUACUUUUAAUGUAAUACAUUUACAGGUAUACAUUUACAGGUGCGGUUAGUCGAACACCUACAUUUCAUUUCUGUUCUCGCUUGCCACAGCCCCGUCUGUUUGUUGUGCACCCCUUGUUCGGUCCUGUGCCUUGCAAGCUCUGCAAGCCAGAAAAGUGCAUACAAGAGUGGGCCAUAUGCCAUCAGAAGUCCAGGGCAGUGGAUGAUGAAGCACUUUUUCAGCAUAUGCUUCCCUGGGAAUACUUCCUGCAACAGAGCAAGAAAGACAACAAUGUUCUCCAAAAUCAAUGUCACACGGCACAUGGACACAUGGAGCAAACGGUGCGGCGCACUGGGCAGGGCUACUGAAUGUUGGUAUCUUUGGGACCAGAGCAACAAAGUCCCAGGUGUGGCAACACAACACAUUACCCUUUGGCCCAUUUUCCACCUCUCAAAUGCACACUUUCCCUCUGGCUCUGGCUUAUCUACCUUCUGUUACGAACAAUGUUUUUUGCCCAGCUCAGCAUUCACCUCUCUCUGGCUUUAGCCAUCUCUUACGACUUAAAGAUCCAUUAAAAGAUUGGGUGCAGAUGUGUUUGCAUGUGUAAAGUGUAAAUGAGUUAAACUAUGCAUUGGUGCAUUCAUUCAGUCAUGUCAUGCUGUGUGGCAGUGUCAGAUGGGACCACUGUGUGGGGUGGAGCCGU